CAAACCCUUCCAUUUCCAUUUGAAGCAGUAGUAGCAGUUGCGCCUGUGAUUUGCAAAGUGUGAAUUCAUGGACCAUGUCACCGUGUGCGAAGUGCGAAAUCAGAAAGUGUGACUCCGAGUCUCCGAGGCCCGAGCAAGCAACCUGCAGUUUAGUGGUGAGUUAAAUUGUUUUUGUUAUCUGUUGUAUCGUUGAUUUUUUGAUUCGUGCAACUGCAAACCCAUCCAUUUCCAUGUUUUUGUUGUCUGUUUUAUGUGGAGUGUGAAAUCAGAAUCUCCUUUUGUUUUGGAGAUUUUUGUUGAUUUAGGGAUUUUGUUUUUGUUGGACUAGUUGGUUUAAGUUUUAUUUACAAUUUAAUUACUGAAAAAAUUUGGGGUUCAAGGAUUUGGAUAUUUUGUGGUUGCUUGAGUUAAAUUCUUUCUUUAAUAUAUUCCUUUGCUCUGUUUUGGUGUUCAAAUUUGCAGUAUGGCAUCUUGCUCUCCCAAGAACAUAAUCAUAUCCAAAUGUGUUUAAGAGCUUGAAUUGUUGAAUUGUUGUCUGUUGAGAGUUGAGUUGAGACUCUUGAGUGUUGUUUGAUGCAAUGAUGUUUACUGGAUAAGGGAAAUUAGGACUUAUUACUGAGAGUCUGAGAAUUAUAAUUUUUAAUCAAUUCUAAUUGGUUUUUCAAGGAUUGCCAUUUUGUGGUCACGAUAAAUUGAACGAGUCUCUUAAUAGAGGAAAUCUAAUCGAGUUACUAAACUAGUAUACAACUCAUACAUUUACAUAUAUUUGAAUAAUUUUUAAUAUUAUUUAAUCAAAUUUUAAUGACAACAAUAUUAUUACAAUUGUUGAUUGUCGACGGUUAAUGGUCAAGCUCCACCCUAACUGAACUUAGAUGUUGGAUUCAUCCCUGAUCAAUGGUACGCCAAACUUUCAAAAAUUUUCAUUGAACAAGGAUAUGUUCAAUCGAAGGUAAAUUAUAGCCUAUUUACUAAAGGUGAUGGUGCCUCUUUUACUGCUGUCUUAGUGUAUGUUGAUGACAUAGUUGUGGCUGGAAAUUGCAUCGACGUGAUUAACCACCUUAAAACUUCACUUCAUGACAAGUUUAGGAUUAAGGAUCUUGGUAGGUUGAAUAACUCCUUGGCAUAGAGGUGGCCAGGUCUGCAAAAGGUAUCAGUAUAUGUCAAAGGAAGUAUGCUUUGGAUAUCUUGGAUGACUCGGGGACAAUUGGUUCAGCUCCUGCCAGAAUACCAUUACAUCAAAAUGUAAAAUUAGCCAAAGAUAAAGGGGAAUUGCUCCCUGAACCAGCAAUUUACAGAAGAUUGGUUGGCAGAUUGUUGUACCUAACAAUAACUAGGCCUGAUAUUUCUUACUCAGUGCAAUUGUUAAGUCAAUUUAUGGAAAGCCCCCGAAUCCCACAUUUGAAUGCAGCACAAAGUCCUAAGAUAUAUCAAACGGGCUCCAGGGUAGGGGAUAUUCUAUCCAGCAGAUUCAGCAUUAUAAUUACACGGAUAUAGUGAUUCAGAUUGGGGAGCUUGUACUAUUACUCGACAAUCAAUAACAGGUUACUGCGUGUUAAUUGGAAAAUCAAUGGUGUCUUGGAAAUUAAAGAAGUAACAAGUGGUCUCAAGAUCAUCUUCGAAACCUAAAUAUAGAGCUAUGGCUGAUUUGUGUUGCGAACUAACAUGGUUCAGAUACUUAUUUUGAAGACUUGAAGAUAGCUCAUCCUCAAGCUGCAUAUUUGUACUGUGACAAUAAAUCAGCCGUUCAUAUAGCCACCAACCCAAUUUUUCAUGAGAGGACCAAACACAUAGAGCUCGAUUGUCAUUUGAUUCGCGACAAAAUUCAAGAUGGAUACAUUGUUACUAAGCAUGUUCCUAGCAAGUCACAGAUUGUAGACAUUUUUUUACCAAAGCCUUAGGCUCGCAAGGUUUUUACUCAUGCAUGCUCAAGAUGGGACUAAUAGACAUAUACUCUCCAUCUUGCAGUGGGCUAUUGGAAGUUGACAAAGCAGCUGAAUUGGAAAGACAUGAAGGAGCUGGUUAAAGAAUCAGCAAUACAAGCAACAAUUGAAAGAUGCUCACACAAUUGACAGCCAACUUGGAAUAACAGAAUGAGAAUUCUCUAGAAGAAGGAAAAGGAAUUUUGUAAAUUAGUUACCUUUCUGUUGUGAGAACGUGUAUGUAAAUUAUUUCUUUUAGAAUAGCCUAUUGUGUGUAUAUAUACUUUGCUUUUCUGUACAGUCUCAACAAGCAGAAAAAUCAAUACAAUUCUUUGCUUUAUUUCUGCCUCCAUCA
RNAcentral lists this long non-coding RNA (2274 nucleotides) under Olea europaea subsp. europaea. Lineage: Eukaryota; Viridiplantae; Streptophyta; Magnoliopsida; Lamiales; Oleaceae. The record is from RNAcentral.